UACGUAGGGGGCGAGCGUUGUCCGGAAUUACUGGGCGUAAAGAGCUCGUAGGUGGUUUGUCGCGUUGUUCGUGAAAACUCACAGCUCAACUGUGGGCGUGCGGGCGAUACGGGCAGACUAGAGUACUGCAGGGGAGACUGGAAUUCCUGGUGUAGCGGUGGAAUGCGCAGAUAUUGGGAAGAACACCAGUGGCGAAGGCGGUUCUCUGGGCAUUACCUGACGCUGAGGAGCGAAAGUGUGGGGAGCGAACAGG
Molecule: ribosomal RNA, 253 nt
Filed under: uncultured bacterium
Lineage: Bacteria
Description: partial 16S ribosomal RNA
Rfam family: Bacterial small subunit ribosomal RNA
Source: RNAcentral